GUGCCAGCAGCCGCGGUAAUACGUAGGUGGCAAGCGUUGUCCGGAAUUAUUGGGCGUAAAGCGCGCGCAGGCGGUUCCUUAAGUCUGAUGUGAAAGCCCCCGGCUCAACCGGGGAGGGUCAUUGGAAACUGGGGAACUUGAGUGCAGAAGAGAAGAGUGGAAUUCCACGUGUAGCGGUGAAAUGCGUAGAGAUGUGGAGGAACACCAGUGGCGAAGGCGACUCUUUGGUCUGUAACUGACGCUGAGGCGCGAAAGCGUGGGGAGCAAACAGGAUUAGAUACUCUGGUAGUCCACGCCGUAAACGAUGAGUGCUAAGUGUUAGAGGGUUUCCGCCCUUUAGUGCUGCAGCAAACGCAUUAAGCACUCCGCCUGGGGAGUACGGCCGCAAGGCUGAAACUCAAAGGAAUUGACGG
This 413-nucleotide ribosomal RNA is filed under the name uncultured organism. RNAcentral's name for it is "SSU rRNA". It matches the Rfam family "Bacterial small subunit ribosomal RNA", at positions 505 to 916 of the family's 1533-position model. The record is from RNAcentral.